CCUUUCUUUUUUUGUGUUUGAAUUUCUCCGCCUUUGAAUUUGGGCUUUCACUCGAGCGCAGAGAGUUCAGCCUAUUUCCAUAAAAAAUCCUUUCCAUGCAUUUUUUUUCUCUUUUUUUCUCUCCCUCUCUCUCUUUCUCUCUUUUUCUAAACAGCAACUUGGAGAAAUCCUGCGUUUUUCCCUCCUGGUUUCUCCUCGCGCUGCUUUCCCGGCUGAUCUGAUUAUUUUUCCCUUCACGUUUUGUCCCAAUAGCAAAUUACCAAUUCUAUGAAUUGCAAAGCAGCCUCGGAGACGCUGAGGGCUGGAGAGGGGGAGAUGCCAAGAUUGAAAGGGAUCUUUGCAAACACAAUCACGUUCUUAAAUGGAAAUGUGGGGCUUUAAACAAAUCUUACAUCUCUCCUGUUUCAGUCGUGUAAAAGUCUGCAAUCAGGCGCGCGCGCUCCUUCCAACCACCACAGCUGUUUACAGGACUUUUUCCGUUCUCUUUUUUGGGCUUUUGGAAGAGGAAAAAACAAACAAAAAAGAAACCAAUGUGAUGCUGUGGGAAAGAAGUCGGGCGCGAGAGCGAAAGACUUCCCAUUGGGCAGACUGUGUGUGAAGAAGACGUGUGUAUUGCAGGUGUGAUGCCUAAGGCACACUGCAGGAGCAGGCGUACCCAGGUAGGAAGGGCUCUUACCAAGGAAACCAUCACCCUCGUGUGUGUGUGUGUGUGUGUGUGUGUGUGUGUGUGUGUGUGUGUGUGUCAUUUUUUCCAAACAGAAACAUACUCUACUUUUAAGUAUAAUUCAGCAGUUUUGAGCUUUGUGUUUAAUGUGCUGUAUUCAGGAGCCUACUUUAUCUGUUCAUCUUUUCUCAAUUGCUAUGUCUAUGUAGUAGCUGCUUUUAAAAAUGUUGGUCACUUAAAGCAUUUAACCCUCCUGUUAUGUUAAUUUGUCAGGAACAGCAAUGGUGUUUCUGGGUCAUAUGACCUGGUGCAUGUUUUACUAUCCAAAAGAUGUCUGAAACCCCCCCAAAAAUCCUUACAAGCAGUUUAAAUAUUUCAGUACUAACUCCAUUACUAAUUAUUCUAUCAAUGUUUAGUACAAUGCUGUUCCUUACCUCUAACAGGUAAUGGUUCAAUUAGAAUUAUUCUCUCGUUUUUCAUAAAA
Molecule: long non-coding RNA, 1148 nt
Organism: Astyanax mexicanus (Mexican tetra)
Lineage: Eukaryota; Metazoa; Chordata; Actinopteri; Characiformes; Acestrorhamphidae
Exons: 3
Source: RefSeq, a predicted model, not a curated record